AUGCAACUUUAUAUGACAAAGUCAAAAACGGGUCCUAUUAGAUCUAAUAUAUACAAUAUACAAGAACAUAUCUCAAAAACACCAAAACCAAACAAAAUACACUUCCUACUUAUUUCGGAAUCAUGGCCCCAAAAUAGAACUAUCAGGUGGUCCUUCAAAAGAAAAAAGAACCAUCAGGUGUUUCCCGCGAUGCGCUCGGACAAAAAAUACAGUAAUUACAAUAACAACAUUGGCAUGAAUCAGAAAACAAAAUUAGAAAGAAAAUAA
Molecule: non-coding RNA, 267 nt
Organism: Vicia faba (fava bean)
Lineage: Eukaryota; Viridiplantae; Streptophyta; Magnoliopsida; Fabales; Fabaceae
Source: the annotation of a GenBank genome assembly